RNAcentral lists this ribosomal RNA (440 nucleotides) under uncultured bacterium. RNAcentral's name for it is "partial 16S ribosomal RNA". It matches the Rfam family "Bacterial small subunit ribosomal RNA", at positions 338 to 795 of the family's 1533-position model. The record is from RNAcentral.
CCUACGGGCGGCAGCAGUGGGGAAUAUUGCACAAUGGGGGAAACCCUGAUGCAGCGACGCCGCGUGAGUGAAGAAGUAUUUCGGUAUGUAAAGCUCUAUCAGCAGGGAAGAAAAUGACGGUACCUGAUUAAGAAGCCCCGGCUAACUACGUGCCAGCAGCCGCGGUAAUACGUAGGGGGCAAGCGUUAUCCGGAUUUACUGGGUGUAAAGGGAGCGUAGACUGCAGCACAAGUCUGGAGUGAAAUCCCUGGGCUUAACCCCGGAACUGCUUUGGAAACUGUGCAACUAGAGUGCAGGAGAGGUAAGUGGAAUUCCUAGUGUAGCGGUGAAAUGCGGAGAUAUUAGGAGGAACACCAGUGGCGAAGGCGGCUUACUGGACUGUAACUGACGUUGAGGCUCGAAAGCGUGGGGAGCAAACAGGAUUAGAUACCCUAGUAGUC